AUGAACGCUGGCGGCGUGCCUAAUACAUGCAAGUCGAGCGAACAGACGAGGAGCUUGCUCCUCUGACGUUAGCGGCGGACGGGUGAGUAACACGUGGAUAACCUACCUAUAAGACUGGGAUAACUUCGGGAAACCGGAGCUAAUACCGGAUAAUAUAUUGAACCGCAUGGUUCAAUGGUGAAAGACGGUUUUGCUGUCACUUAUAGAUGGAUCCGCGCCGCAUUAGCUAGUUGGUAAGGUAACGGCUUACCAAGGCGACGAUGCGUAGCCGACCUGAGAGGGUGAUCGGCCACACUGGAACUGAGACACGGUCCAGACUCCUACGGGAGGCAGCAGUAGGGAAUCUUCCGCAAUGGGCGAAAGCCUGACGGAGCAACGCCGCGUGAGUGAUGAAGGUCUUCGGAUCGUAAAACUCUGUUAUUAGGGAAGAACAAAUGUGUAAGUAACUAUGCACGUCUUGACGGUACCUAAUCAGAAAGCCACGGCUAACUACGUG
This 496-nucleotide ribosomal RNA is filed under the name uncultured bacterium. Its description in RNAcentral is "partial 16S ribosomal RNA". It matches the Rfam family "Bacterial small subunit ribosomal RNA", at positions 29 to 507 of the family's 1533-position model. The record is from RNAcentral.